RNAcentral lists this long non-coding RNA (212 nucleotides) under Cicer arietinum (chickpea). RNAcentral describes it as "long non-coding RNA (CARI_LNC003533)". Lineage: Eukaryota; Viridiplantae; Streptophyta; Magnoliopsida; Fabales; Fabaceae. The record is from RNAcentral.
GAAAUCGAUUAGGCAAUCGAUGUAUACAGGUCUGGACAUGUUCUACUGAAAAGUGUUGUUUUAAAGAAUCGAUUGGUAAAUCGAUUAGCUUAUAUAGUUUCAAGAUUAAAGAAAAACAAGACUCGCGAUAAUCGAUUGGCAAAUCGAUUUAGCACAUUUUAUAACUUUACAAAAUCGAUUGGGAAAUCGAUUUCGUAGUUGGUUUUUCAGAA